This 467-nucleotide ribosomal RNA is filed under the name uncultured bacterium. Its description in RNAcentral is "partial 16S ribosomal RNA". It matches the Rfam family "Bacterial small subunit ribosomal RNA", at positions 28 to 506 of the family's 1533-position model. The record is from RNAcentral.
GACGAACGCUGGCGGCGUGCUUAACACAUGCAAGUCGAACGGAAAGGCCCUGCUUUUGUGCGUUGCUCGUGUGGCGAACGCGUGAGUAAAACGUGAGUAACCUGUCCUUAACUUUGUGAUAACUUCAGGAAAAUGGGGCUAAUACCGGGUAGGAUCUCCUGCUGCAUGGUGGUGGUUGGAAAGUUUCGGCGGUUGUGGUUGGACUCGCGGCUUACCAGCUUGUUGGUGGGGUAGUGGCGUACCAAGUUUUGGACGGGUAGCCGACCUGAGAGGGCGACCGGGCACAGUGGGAUUGAGAUGGGGGCCAGAGGCAUACGGGAGGAAGGAGUGGGAGAUAGUGCACGAAGGGCGGAAGCAUGAUGGAGCAACGCCGGGUGCGGGAAGACGGCCUUUGGGGAGGAAACAGCGUGUGAGUGUGACGAAGCGUGAGUGACGGUAAUGAGUAAAGAAGCACCGGUAAACUACGU